This 485-nucleotide ribosomal RNA is filed under the name uncultured bacterium. RNAcentral describes it as "partial 16S ribosomal RNA". It matches the Rfam family "Bacterial small subunit ribosomal RNA", at positions 27 to 507 of the family's 1533-position model. The record is from RNAcentral.
GAUUGAACGCUGGCGGCAGGCCUAACACAUGCAAGUCGAGCGGAUGAAGGGAGCUUGCUCCUGGAUUCAGCGGCGGACGGGUGAGUAAUGCCUAGGAAUCUGCCUGGUAGUGGGGGAUAACGUCCGGAAACGGGCGCUAAUACCGCAUACGUCCUGAGGGAGAAAGUGGGGGAUCUUCGGACCUCACGCUAUCAGAUGAGCCUAGGUCGGAUUAGCUAGUUGGUGGGGUAAAGGCCUACCAAGGCGACGAUCCGUAACUGGUCUGAGAGGAUGAUCAGUCACACUGGAACUGAGACACGGUCCAGACUCCUACGGGAGGCAGCAGUGGGGAAUAUUGGACAAUGGGCGAAAGCCUGAUCCAGCCAUGCCGCGUGUGCGAAGAAGGUCUUCGGAUUGUAAAGCACUUUAAGUUGGGAGGAAGGGCAGUAAGUUAAUACCUUGCUGUUUUGACGUUACCAACAGAAUAAGCACCGGCUAACUUCGUG